UCAUGUCUUAUUUAUUUCUAUAUCCCUAGG
RNAcentral lists this non-coding RNA (30 nucleotides) under Mus musculus (house mouse). Lineage: Eukaryota; Metazoa; Chordata; Mammalia; Rodentia; Muridae. RNAcentral also lists the same sequence under 1 other name. The record is from RNAcentral.